Molecule: ribosomal RNA, 253 nt
Filed under: uncultured bacterium
Lineage: Bacteria
Description: partial 16S ribosomal RNA
Rfam family: Bacterial small subunit ribosomal RNA
Source: RNAcentral
UACGGGGGGGGCAAGCGUUGUUCGGAAUUACUGGGCGUAAAGGGCUCGUAGGUGGCCAAUUAAGUCGGACGUGAAAUCCCUCAGCUUAACUGGGGAACUGCGUCCGAUACUGGAUGGCUUGAGUUUGGGAGAGGGAUGCGGAAUUCCAGGUGUAGCGGUGAAAUGCGUAGAUAUCUGGAGGAACACCGGUGGCGAAGGCGGCAUCCUGGACCAACACUGACACUGAGGAGCGAAAGCCAGAGGAGCAAACGGG